UGCCAGCCGCCGCGGUAAGACGGAGGGUGCAAACGUUGUUCGGAAUCACUGGGCAUAAAGCGCACGUAGGCGGUCCGCUAAGUCAGAUGUGAAAUCCCUCGGCUCAACCGAGGAACUGCACCUGAUACUGACGGACUCGAGGACGGUAGGGGUGAGUGGAACUCCAGGUGGAGCGGUGAAAUGCGUAGAUAUCUGGAGGAACACCGGUGGCGAAGGCGGCUAACUGGCUCGGUACUGACGCUGAGAUGCGAAAGCGUGGGGAGCAAACAGGAUUAGAUA
Molecule: ribosomal RNA, 279 nt
Filed under: uncultured bacterium
Lineage: Bacteria
Description: partial 16S ribosomal RNA
Rfam family: Bacterial small subunit ribosomal RNA
Source: RNAcentral